RNAcentral lists this unclassified non-coding RNA (365 nucleotides) under uncultured Tomentella. Its description in RNAcentral is "sequence contains ITS1". The stretch from base 1 to 105 matches the Rfam family "5.8S ribosomal RNA", at positions 50 to 154 of the family's 154-position model. The record is from RNAcentral. Lineage: Eukaryota; Fungi; Basidiomycota; Agaricomycetes; Thelephorales; Thelephoraceae.
GAAAUGCGAUAAGUAAUGUGAAUUGCAGAAUUCAGUGAAUCAUCGAAUCUUUGAACGCACCUUGCGCCCUUUGGUAUUCCAAUGGGCAUGCCUGUUUGAGUGUCAUGAAACUCUCCAACCCAUUAUUUUGUUAAUCAAUUUAGUGUGGAAUGGGACAUUGAACGUUGCAGACUUACCUUUGCUCGUUCGAAAUGCAGUAGCCGAACAAUUUCUUCGUCACUCUUUGACUUAGCAUGAUAAUUAUCUUUGUUAUGUUCUUGAGAUUAAUGGCGUUGAAACGAUUUCAGCUUCUAAUCUGACGUCUCUUUAAGACUCACCUUUUUUUAAUUGACCUCAAAUCAGGUAGGGCUACCCGCUGAACUUAA